This 583-nucleotide ribosomal RNA is filed under the name uncultured bacterium. RNAcentral describes it as "bacterial SSU rRNA". It matches the Rfam family "Bacterial small subunit ribosomal RNA", at positions 831 to 1411 of the family's 1533-position model. The record is from RNAcentral.
UUGAUCCCUGCUGUGCCGAAGCUAACGCAUUAAGUUCCCCGCCUGGGAGUACGGUCGCAAGGCUAAAACUCAAAGGAAUUGACGGGGGCCCCGCACAAGCGGUGGAGCAUGUGGUUCAAUUCGAUGCAACGCGAAAAACCUUACCUGGGUUUGACAUCCUUUGACAGUCCCUGAAAGGGGAUCUUCCCGAUUUAUCGGGACAAAGUGACAGGUGCUGCAUGGCUGUCGUCAGCUCGUGUCGUGAGAUGUUGGGUUAAGUCCCGCAACGAGCGCAACCCUUGUCUUUAGUUGCCAAUAUUAAGUUAGGCACUCUAAUGAUACUGCCCCGGUUAACGGGGAGGAAGGUGGGGAUGACGUCAAGUCCUCAUGGCCUUUAUACCCAGGGCUACACACGUGCUACAAUGGGCUAUACAAAGGGCUGCCACUCUGCAAAGAGGAGCUAAUCCCAAAAAGUAGUCCUAAGUUCGGAUUGGAGUCUGCAACUCGACUCCAUGAAGCUGGAAUCGCUAGUAACCGUGGAUCAGCAUGCCACGGUGAAUACGUUCCCGGGCCUUGUACACACCGCCCGUCACACCACGAAAGU